Molecule: ribosomal RNA, 498 nt
Filed under: uncultured bacterium
Lineage: Bacteria
Description: partial 16S ribosomal RNA
Rfam family: Bacterial small subunit ribosomal RNA
Source: RNAcentral
GAUGAACGCUAGCGGCAGGCCUAAUACAUGCAAGUCGGACGGGAUUUGGGAGCUUGCUCCUAAUGAGAGUGGCGCACGGGUGCGUAACACGUAUGUAACCUACCUUAAUCAGGGGGAUUGCCUCUCGAAAGAGAGAUUAACACCGCAUAAUAUAUUUUUAUGGCAUCGUAGAAAUAUCAAAUAUUUAUAGGAUUAAGAUGGGCAUGCGGAACAUUAGCUAGUUGGUAAGGUAACGGCUUACCAAGGCUACGAUGUUUAGGGGAUCUGAGGGGAUGACCCCCCGCACUGGUACUGAGGCACGGACCAGACUCCGACGGGAGGGAGCAGUAAGGAAUAUUGGUCAAUGGGCGCAAGCCUGAACCAGCCAUGCGGCGUGCAGGAAGACGGCCCUAUGGGUUGUAAACUGCUUUUGUACCGGAAUAAACCUUUCUACGUGUAGGAAGCUGAAUGUACGGUAAGAAUAAGGAUCGGCUAACUCCGUGCCAGCCGCCGCCGUAA